This 756-nucleotide long non-coding RNA is filed under the name Physcomitrium patens. Its description in RNAcentral is "long non-coding RNA (PPAT_LNC004515)". The record is from RNAcentral. Lineage: Eukaryota; Viridiplantae; Streptophyta; Bryopsida; Funariales; Funariaceae.
UAAUAUAUUCACCCUCAUAAUCUCCAAUUAUAAUACUAUGCCCUCACAGCUUUCAGCACACAAUUACCUUCAUUCCAAUCACUAGAAUUCUUCACACAGAACUGCCAUUCACAUUACGAUGUUUCUCACGAACAUAGACUCAUUCUCUCUGCUUAACUACAAUCAGAUUUCAACAUUCAAUCUUUCUUCUUUUCAAAUAAUACCAAUCACAUUUUCAUUCCAUAAUUCACUUCACAAUAUUCAAAAAUUCACAAUCUUCUUAUUUAAAGAAAAUAACAAACAAAAGAAAAGAGAUAGCACCAAGCUUACCCCGGCUCACAACUAUCACAGCAAUGGCACCUUAAUUAACUUCUACAACUCUUAUAUACUUUUUCCUGAUUUUCUAGAUUCUAAUCGUAAUUCUGUAAUUAACUACUAUUAAUAACUAAAUCACUCAUCCAUCCUCCUAAAUUUCCUAUUAUAUGAAUUAUUAAUAUAUUUUACCAAUAUCUUUCAAAAAUGAAUUAAUAUCUAUUCUACAUAGCUCCACUCCUAUCUGUGCAGUGUCCUCGCAAACACUCAAUUGAUACCUAUCUAAAAAUUAUCUAAAAAAACUCUACAAAAAUUGCGAUCCCUCUGGCCUAUCUAAUUAAUCAAUUGUUACAGUAUCUGUUAUUGGUUCCAUUGAUUCUAGUUCCAACUGCAAAUCUUCAUCCUCUUCCAAUCCUUCCAUCGGCUCCUGCCUCAAUCGAGCUGAAAGAUCUUCAUUAUACUCGC